GUUCAGCUUGUUGGUCACUUGAGGAACACCAGAGGCAACACAGAAAUAGUUGUGUUUAGUAUGAGGCCUGUUAGAAAUUUUAACGAGGUUACCCACCAUCAUGUAGAGUGCAUUCACCAGCAUAUAGUACACCAGAAGUUACAGAAAGGCGAGUCCCUUCCUCAGAGUCAGACAAUGGACGCAUCACAUAGCACCCCGGUCAAAGUUGAAACCAAU
Spinacia oleracea (spinach) is the source of this 216-nucleotide long non-coding RNA. RefSeq lists it as uncharacterized. The record is from RefSeq and is a predicted model, not a curated record. NCBI's taxonomy places the organism in Eukaryota, Viridiplantae, Streptophyta, Magnoliopsida, Caryophyllales, Amaranthaceae. The transcript has 3 exons.